GGCAGGGUGGCGCAGUCGUUAGCGCAUCUCCCUAGUGUGCAGGAGGCCCGGGUUCGAAUCCCGGCCUCGGUACCA
This is a non-coding RNA of Schistocerca piceifrons (Central American locust), 75 nucleotides long. The record is from the annotation of a RefSeq genome assembly. Lineage: Eukaryota; Metazoa; Arthropoda; Insecta; Orthoptera; Acrididae.